This 492-nucleotide ribosomal RNA is filed under the name uncultured bacterium. Its description in RNAcentral is "partial 16S ribosomal RNA". It matches the Rfam family "Bacterial small subunit ribosomal RNA", at positions 29 to 507 of the family's 1533-position model. The record is from RNAcentral.
AGUGAACGCUGGCGGUAGGCCUAACACAUGCAAGUCGAACGGCAGCACAGUAAGAGCUUGCUCUUACGGGUGGCGAGUGGCGGACGGGUGAGGAAUACAUCGGAAUCUACUUUUUCGUGGGGGAUAACGUAGGGUAACUUACGCUAAUACCGCAUACGACCUACGGGUGAAAGCAGGGGAUCUUCGGACCUUGCGCGAUUGAAUGAGCCGAUGUCGGAUUAGCUAGUUGGCGGGGUAAAGGCCCACCAAGGCGACGAUCCGUAGCUGGUCUGAGAGGAUGAUCAGCCACACUGGAGCUGAGACACGGUCCAGACUCCUACGGGAGGCAGCAGUGGGGAAUAUUGGACAAUGGGCGCAAGCCUGAUCCAGCCAUACCGCGUGGGUGAAGAAGGCCUUCGGGUUGUAAAGCCCUUUUGUUGGGAAAGAAAAGCAGCAGGUUAAUACCCCGCUGUUCUGACGGUACCCAAAGAAUAAGCACCGGCUAACUUCGUG